UGCGUAGGCGGAUCAAUAAGUCAGUGGUGAAAUCUCUCGGCUCAACCGGGAAACUGCCAUUGAUACUGUUGAUCUUGAGUUCGGUUGAGGUAGGCGGAAUGUGUAAUGUAGCGGUGAAAUGCUUAGAUAUUACACAGAACACCAAUUGCGUAGGCAGCUUACUAGACCGACACUGACGCUGAGGCACGAAAGCGUGGGGAGCGAACAGGAUUAGAUACCCCUGGUAGUCC
This 230-nucleotide ribosomal RNA is filed under the name uncultured bacterium. Its description in RNAcentral is "partial 16S ribosomal RNA". It matches the Rfam family "Bacterial small subunit ribosomal RNA", at positions 568 to 796 of the family's 1533-position model. The record is from RNAcentral.